UCUGCUGCCAGCCUGCCACAUGUGUGCCACCGAGGCCCGCUCUAACCCAGCACCCCCUUGUGGCCAAGUGGAGGGCAGCCCAGAAGUGAGGAGGGGCCACAUAUUUUAUAGAAACAUUGUAUCCCUUCUCAAGCCUUGUCCUGUGCUUUCUCAAUUGAGACCAGAGACAGAUGCUGCCUGCCUAUGAUAAGAGGCCUUCCGGACUUCUGUGUCAGAGGGAAGAAGGAAUGAGGAACUGCCCUAACGGCAGAGUAGGGAGCCUGCUGGCUAAAGAAGAGGGAGCUUCUUGGCUGGUAGGAAGGACCAGAAUCUAAACUGCUUUUUCCUGUUACCAAAUCAUGAGCUUUUUUGUCCAAUUGGGUCCCCCAUGACUGCCACCAUCAAGUCUUUUUCUAAAAUUUUAUUUUUUAUUUUAAAUGCGUGAGUGUUUGACCUGCAUUGUGCAUGUGCAGCAGGCCUGGUGUCACUGAGGUCCACAAGAAGGUGUCAGAUCUCCUGGAACUAGAAUUGAUGGUUAUGAGCCACUACGUGGAAGCCAGGAACUGAACCUGGGUCCUCUGGAAUGACCGCCAGUGCUCUUAACCUCGGAGCCAUCUCUCCAGCCCCAACCGUCAUUCUGUUGUUUCAUUUUGUUUUUGAGACAGGGUUUCUCUGUGUCAUCCUGGCUGUCAUGGAACUUGCUUUCUAGACCAGGCUGGCCUCAAACUCAGAAAUUCUCCUGCAUCUGCCUCCUGAGUGCUAAGAUUAAAGGCAUGUGCCACCACCGCCUGGAUCCAACUGUCAUUUUUUUUUUAAGAUUUAUUUAUUUAAUGUAUAUGAGUACACUGUAGCUGUCUCCAGACAUACCAGAGGAGGGCAUCAGAUUCUAUUACAGAUGAUCGUGAGCCACCAUGUGGUUGCUGGGUGAUGUGCCCUUUGGAACUCUGACACGCAGUGCUAACAGCUAGUGACACAGGAAGCUCCCCCACGGAGGCUAUUUGAAUCUGCCUCCAUCUCUUUUCUUCUGGUUAAUUUCCUGGGUGGCCAACAUCUCGGAACAUUCAUGGCAGCUGCUCAUCUAUGUCUCAGUGGUCACCUGAUAUCUCACCUCAAAUCUGCAGGUACUUAAAAGGUGAUCUCUCUAGGCACUCACUGCCUGCCAAGUCGAAAGGCAGGAAGAGAAAAGGUAUCGAUCACCCGGAGUUUGGCUGCGUGGUUUUCAGAACACAUUCUUGGCCACACUACUGCUCUGUUUCACCCUCUUUCCUGUAGACUCAUUCUUUGCACCACACCCCUUAGCCCUGCAUGGCUACCGCUGAAGAAACUAAAGCUAAUGCUGUUUGCUUAA
Molecule: non-coding RNA, 1327 nt
Organism: Rattus norvegicus (Norway rat)
Lineage: Eukaryota; Metazoa; Chordata; Mammalia; Rodentia; Muridae
Source: RefSeq, a predicted model, not a curated record